UACGUAGGGUGCGAGCGUUAAUCGGAAUUACUGGGCGUAAAGCGUGCGCAGGCGGUUGUGCAAGACAGGCGUGAAAUCCCCGGGCUUAACCUGGGAACUGCGCUUGUGACUGCACGGCUAGAGUACGGCAGAGGGGGGUGGAAUUCCACGUGUAGCAGUGAAAUGCGUAGAGAUGUGGAGGAACACCGAUGGCGAAGGCAGCCCCCUGGGCCGAUACUGACGCUCAUGCACGAAAGCGUGGGGAGCAAACAGG
Molecule: ribosomal RNA, 253 nt
Filed under: uncultured bacterium
Lineage: Bacteria
Description: partial 16S ribosomal RNA
Rfam family: Bacterial small subunit ribosomal RNA
Source: RNAcentral